AUCCACCCAGCACUCAUCCAUGUGUGGCAGGAGCGGGGGACCCAGGUAGUACGCCGGCCCGGACAACCGGACGGCUUGGGGUGAAGUCGCGUCACGGCGCGGCCGGGCAUCUCCAGCCCGAACCCGACAGCUCACCUCGUAGGCGCCGGAGAAGGAAUUC
Molecule: small RNA, 160 nt
Filed under: Streptomyces niveus
Lineage: Bacteria; Bacillati; Actinomycetota; Actinomycetes; Kitasatosporales; Streptomycetaceae
Description: c-di-AMP sequence
Rfam family: c-di-AMP riboswitch aptamer (ydaO/yuaA leader)
About the family: This family represents a conserved RNA structure found upstream of the ydaO and yuaA genes in Bacillus subtilis and related genes in other bacteria. The ydaO/yuaA element is thought to act as a genetic "off" switch for the ydaO and yuaA genes in its native state.
Source: RNAcentral